This 737-nucleotide long non-coding RNA is filed under the name Glycine max (soybean). Its description in RNAcentral is "long non-coding RNA (GMAX_LNC002152)". The record is from RNAcentral. Lineage: Eukaryota; Viridiplantae; Streptophyta; Magnoliopsida; Fabales; Fabaceae.
CAUUAUAUAUAAAAAAAACAAAUCUUUUUUUAAAAAAUGGAAUAUUUUUUUAAAUAAGCAAAUAUAUAUUGAUAACUGCACGAAUAAUGUUGUAACAAGCAUUGGCUAGCAAUUGUCAAGCUUUAGUCAAGAUGAUAAAGAAACACUUAAUCUACCCAUCCUAACCUCAGAUACAAGAGAUUAACAUAGAACAUGUCGGUGGGAUCUUAGUAUAUACACGAAAUUGUGCAUAUAAGAAGAUACCAUGGAUAAGUAAGCCCCAACCUGAUACAAAUUAAAUAGCAACAGAAAAUCUGCAUAUGGCUAGCCCAAAAUAGAACCAGCAGAAUAGCAGAGACAGCAUUAACGUGAAUUAAAUCUGAUGGGAAAUGCAUGCACUAGUGCUUAUGAGAAAGUGAAAUUUGGUUCAGAUGAUUUCAACCAUGACCAGGACUGAAAUAAUGUCUUGGAAAAACUUGUCUCUGUUGAAGAUGAUGUUGUUUCUCCAAUUCCAAACAACCCAUGUAAUGGCACACCACAAGACCCGCCAAAUUCGAUUUGUAAUCGGAGAGCACUUAUAUAAAACAGUAAUGCUCUUGGACAGUUGCAGGUAUUGAAGAGGAAAGAUUAAGCCACGAGUAGCAUUCUGACCAAACCAAGCUGACUGUGGGACAACUGAAAAGAGAAUGAGCCAAUGUUUUCAUCAAGAGAACCACAAAAGGGUCGACCAAGUCCGAAUAUGUCACAGGAAUAUUCCU